GCCUGGGUGGCUCAGUUGGUUAAGCAUCUGGCUUCGGCUCAGAUCAUGCAUGAUCUUACAGCUCGUGGGUUUGAGCCCCACAUCGGGCU
This 89-nucleotide transfer RNA is filed under the name Felis catus (domestic cat). It matches the Rfam family "tRNA". From Rfam's summary of the family: Transfer RNA (tRNA) molecules are approximately 80 nucleotides in length. Their secondary structure includes four short double-helical elements and three loops (D, anti-codon, and T loops). The record is from Rfam by way of RNAcentral. Lineage: Eukaryota; Metazoa; Chordata; Mammalia; Carnivora; Felidae.